Molecule: long non-coding RNA, 1102 nt
Filed under: Gallus gallus (chicken)
Lineage: Eukaryota; Metazoa; Chordata; Aves; Galliformes; Phasianidae
Description: long non-coding RNA NONGGAT006946
Source: RNAcentral
GCCAUGGCAACCGCCUGUGAUGCCAGGAUCCGGGCCAGGAGCAGGGCUGCAAGAAGGAAAGGACAGCACCACCACCGCCACCAGGCAGCAGCCAGCAGGGAAAGGCGUGGCGUCAAGCUGCUGCCCGUUCGACACGUCCUCCCUCCUGGCCUCACCGGCUCUCGCCGGGGCUGAAAAUCGCCGUGCUGGAAGCGGAGGCUUUCCUCGAGCCUACCGACGGUACGGCGGCCGCCUUCCCGGGAGAGCAGCCGCGUGCUCGGGCUGACACCUAGCGGCGGGGCCCGCUCUCUCCCUCCGGCGGUGGCGGCGUGGAAAUCUCUAUUCCGUUGGCUUUGGGCCUCUUGACGGCGCGCUGGGCUCACCAACACGUGGAAAAAGCUUCCCCGGGGCCAAAGCUUUCACCAGCUCGUCUCCUUGGUGUCCCGUGGGUGGAGGCGGCCGUCGUGGGAUGGUGACCAAACCUCGCUGAGGGGUGGCUGCGUCAGAGAGACCUGAGCCGUGCAGGAUUAAGGCAGGCCGAUGAAAGCCACUCCCGAAUCCCAGCCGGCAGCGCUGGAAAUAGCCCAGGGUAAAUUCUCCGAAGGUGAUUCACCAGGCAGUCUGAUAAGACACUGGAACCCAUCGUGCUGCAAGACAAGCCUUUAGUCUGCCUUCCAGUAACACCUUCAACCUCCAGGAACCAACACCCAGGACUGAAGCUAUCAAAAAUGCAAAGCCAAAAUGACUGUAGUGAAGUGACACAUGGCAAAAGCAAUGGCAGCUGGGGGCAGCAACUUGCUUGGCAGCAGAGGCAACUGGGCACAGAUCAGCCUUUGGAGACAGAAGUAUGACUCCCACCAGGCUGGCUUCAAUAGCUACUGUCAGAAUAAUGGCCCUUUUCCUUCUUUUGGCAUGCUGACAUCCAAACUCCCAUGGCUUUUAAGUGCUGAUGUCAGAAGUUGUAGCUGAACUCUGUGUAACCUCCAGGCUAUAAAGGAUGCCAAAUGAAAUGCACACACACACACACACAUAUGUAUAUAUUUAUGCUAGUCCUGGAUAGUCUCCUUUGUAUCUGUAGUAAGCCCAACCCAACGCUCUCUCUUUUGCACCCAAUGUAGAAGGG